This 401-nucleotide ribosomal RNA is filed under the name uncultured bacterium. RNAcentral's name for it is "bacterial SSU rRNA". It matches the Rfam family "Bacterial small subunit ribosomal RNA", at positions 355 to 773 of the family's 1533-position model. The record is from RNAcentral.
UGGGGAAUAUUGGACAAUGGGCGAAAGCCUGAUCCAGCCAUGCCGCGUGAGUGAUGAAGGCCCUAGGGUUGUAAAGCUCUUUCAGUGGGGAAGAUAAUGACGGUACCCACAGAAGAAGCCCCGGCUAACUUCGUGCCAGCAGCCGCGGUAAUACGAAGGGGGCUAGCGUUGUUCGGAUUUACUGGGCGUAAAGCGCACGUAGGCGGAUCGUUAAGUCGGGGGUGAAAUCCCGGGGCUCAACCCCGGAACUGCCUUCGAUACUGGCGAUCUCGAGUCCGGAAGAGGUGAGUGGAACUCCUAGUGUAGAGGUGGAAUUCGUAGAUAUUAGGAAGAACACCAGUGGCGAAGGCGGCUCACUGGUCCGGUACUGACGCUGAGGUGCGAAAGCGUGGGGAGCAAAC